AUUUAUUUACAAUCCAAGGCAGCAGAGCCAUCAAAUUCACAUGUAACUAUAGUGUCCCCUUUCCAGUGUUAACAGUUUCCAGAAGCUGACAUUUCAUUUGUGCGUAUGUAUGUGUAUUUUACUCAAGUUGGGUUCUCCCACAAAAACAGGGAAGAGCUAUUUACAGGUGAGACUAGUCUGCUUCCUUAUGCCCUGAGGGUUUGGUGAGGGAGGAGCUCAGGUUUAAAUCUUCAACGUCAGCCUAACUGCCUCUCGCUGCAGGAUUUCUCUGAGCUCCUUGUGGAGAGAGGAAGUUCCUGGGACCUCUGUUCUGAGAGCAAACACUCACGAUGGGGAGGAACUCAGAACCACUUUGUAAAGAAGUAUGACAACAGGAGCAGAGACAUGGAUAUGCAUGGUGAUGUUGGGAGAAGAGUGCAUCUCACUGGGGACUGAAGAUCUGUGAUGGAGAUCUAGCCCAGACUGCAGUAGAGAUGGGCAUGAAUCAGAAAAAUGGAAAGAGCUGAAGACUUCAGGACCCUUCGAGCAAAAUUCCAAAAUGAAUCCAGCAAGCCCUCAGGAGAAAUCAGCCUACGGCAACAUCUUGGUGCCAGUUCAACACCUUCUCCUGAACCCAAGACUGUGCAUCGAGUACAACCUCCAGAAAUCAUCCCACGGCAAGGUCCCACUUCUAAGGCUGCCCCUUGUGCCAAGCCCAGGUCCUCACACCUGUCACAAGUCCCAGAUCAUGAGCAAAAGCCUGCAUAUAUCAGCUUAGCAGCAGCUGAAUCACAACUCAGUGGCACAUCCCAGAAAUCUGAGACAACACCUAUCAAACCUAUGGUCCUGCCCAGAGUCAAACUUUGUGAGUUGUCUGAAAUAAGGAAAAAGAAUGAAAAGAAAGCUACGGAGUCUCCAGAAACUCCGUGGAAAGCAUCUGUGCCUGUGGCCCAUCCUCAAAAACAACGUCCAGUGUCCUGUGGCUACUCUCAAGAAGCCGGGUUAGCAGAUCAUUCUUUCCACAGCACUCUGCGCAUUUGGGAAAGUGCUGCAGCAUUUCAGGGAGACCAGAUGUCUUCCACAUUGCCACCCCAACGCCCAAAACGGACAACAUCUCUUGCACAGCUAAGCACUAGCAAUAAUAAUUCUGUCACUGUGGAGGAGAAAGCUGAAAUGUGUGAAAAUGUCCAAGCCUUGACACUUGCUGCACCACAGAAGCCUUCUCAAGGGGACCUGACUCCUUUUCCCGCGGUGUCACCACCUCUUCCACCGAGGGGCCAAACAGGUUCAGAGAAUUUGACACCUGGAGGUCUUAAAAUUAUAAAUUCUUCCCCCAGUACUAAUAAGAUGGGCAGACCAAGCAAGACUCUGCAGUCUUUAACUGAAAGGCAAAAUGAUGCUGAAGAACUCAAGCUUCCAAAAACUAAGCCACUUCCGUCCAUUGUAUCACUUGGUCCUCCACCAAAGAAACCAGCAAGGCCUCCCAAGGUAGAUCUUAGUCCUUUCUGUCGGAACCUUCCAGAUGCUACAGAUGAUGCAUAUAUCACUCCUGAAAUAACGGAUGACUUGAACAUGUAUGAAGAAUCAAUGUCUUACCUGACCCAGCCAGAGAGUUCCAUUAAUUCUGAUCAGGAACUUGCACACCGUGAGUUCUAUCAAUUGCUUCCUUCCUUCACACAUUCCAUUGUUAGCUAUCUAUUUCCAGAGUACAUCAGUUUGUAGUAAGUAUAAGCUUGGCUAGCCCUGCAGUGGGUAGCAAUGGAUAUCUUCAGUAUGAUGUUUUACCCCACAAUUCCACAUGAAAAUACAUGCACACUGUUGUGUAUUUCUGUACACAUUUCUCUUAAUUCUUAUUUGUAUAUAUUUGUCCAACACACAUUUUUUACAAGCAUUUCUCCCUAAUGUAUUGAAAUGUUCUACUAGCGCUGUAAUCUUGUUGUGGAGCUAUGAGUACAUAAUAUGAAGCUGCCUCAGCAGUAGGAAGAAUCACAACAAGGUAAAAGUGCUAUUCACAAAGCAUUUCUGCAUGCUUGUUGUGCAACGGGCACACUGUAAACUAUGUGACUGAUUGCACAACCAAAGAGUGCAAUGAUUACUGUUUGGAUGUAACACUAGGUAUACUUAUGCUGGCAUAACUUUAUGUUACACCAAAAUGAACACUUGUUUUAAAUGUGUUUUAGUACUGAUUUUGUUUACCAUUUUUAUAUAUACUAUUUGUUUCAUUUUUUAAAAGAUUUGUAUGCUUACUGUUUUCAGCUUUUAAAUACUGUCUUUUUAAUUAUGUACGUUACCUUGGGUCCUUUUAAAAGAGAAAGGCAGGAUAAAAAUAUUUUCAAUAAAUAAAUAAAUGCACAGUAAACA
Molecule: long non-coding RNA, 2340 nt
Filed under: Pogona vitticeps (central bearded dragon)
Lineage: Eukaryota; Metazoa; Chordata; Lepidosauria; Squamata; Agamidae
Description: lncRNA (ENSPVIG00000022546.1)
Source: RNAcentral